GUUCUUAAGUUUAAAACAAAAAAAAAAAAAAAAGAAAAAGAAAUGCAAAGCUUUAUUUUAUGAGUCAGAGGACUUGAUACUAAGUCUUAAGAUUGUAAUACUGCCCCUGCCAAGUUAAUCUGCAAAUUCAACAAAUUCAAAAAAACAAAAACCUCCACUCCCAGAUACCUUUUUGCAAAAAUUGACAAGUUGAUCUUAAAAUUUAUGUGGACCCAGAGUAGCCAAAAUAAUCUUGAUAAAUAACAUAUUUGGAGUACUCACUCGGAUAUCAAAACUUAGGGCAAAACUACAAUUAUAAGACAGGCAUAAAGAUAAGCGAAAUAAAAGUCCAGAAAUAAACCCUUGUGUUUUGUAGUCAGUUGAUGUUUGGCAAAAGUUCCAAGACAAUUCAAAUGGGAAAGAAUAGUCUCUUCAACAAAUGGUUUUGGGACAAGUAAAUAUUGACCCCUCCUUUAUGCGAUAUACAAAAGUUAAACUCGAAAUGUAACAAACACCUAAAUAUAAGAAUUAAAACUAUAAAACUCUAAGAGGAAUAUCUAAGGGUAAAUCUUCACGACUUUGGGUUACACAAAGCCUUGUUGAUGUGACAAGUCACAAAAGAAAAAUAGAUGAACACCAAAUAUAAAAACACUUGCUGCAAUUGAUACCAACAGAUUAGAAUAACAACUCAGAAUUGGAAAAAUAUUUGCAAAUCAUAUAUCUGAUAAAAUGUAUCCGGAAUGUGUAGAGAAUUCUUUCAACCCAAUAAAAAGAAUAUAAAUACCCAAUUUAAAAAAUGAGUAAAGGGGCCGGGCGCGGUGGCUCAUGCCUGUAAUUCCAGCACUUUGGGAGGCCAAGGCGGGCAGAUCACGAGGUCAGGAGAUCGAGACCAUCCUGGCUAACACGGUGAAACCCCGUCUCUACUAAAAAUAAAAAAAAAAAUUAGCCGGGUAUGGUGGCAUGCGCCUGUAGUCCCAGCUACUCAGGAGACUGCGGCAGGAGAAUGGCAUGAACCCAGGAGGCAGAGCUUGCAGUGAGCCAAGAUCGCGCCACUGCACUCCAGCCUGGGUGACAGAGUGAGACUCUAUCUCAAAAAAAAAAAAAAAAAAUUAACCAGGCGUGGUGGUGGGCGCCUGUAGUCCCAGCUACUCGGGAGGCUGAGGCAGGAGAAUGGCAUGAACCCGGGAGGUGGAGCUUGCAGUGAGCCGAGAUCAUGCCACUGCACUGCAGCCUGGGCGACAGAGUGAGAGUCCGUCUCAAAAAAAAAAAAAAAAAAUGAGUAAAGGAUCUGUACGUCUUCCCAAAAGAAAUGGACAGUUGGGCAGUAAGUACAUGAAAAGAUGCUCAAAUCAUUAACUGUCAGGGAAAUGUAAAUCCAAACCACAAUGACAUCCCACUUUGCACCAGCCAGGAUGAUUAUAAUAAAAAAGGCAGACAACAUGGUGAAACCCCGUCUCUACUAAAAACACAAAAAUUAGCUGGGCGUGGUGGCAUGCGCCUGUAGUACCAGCUACUCAGGAGGCUGAGAUGGGAGAGUUGCAUGAACCCAGGAGGUGGAGGUUGCAGUGAGCCAAGAUCGCGCCACUGCACUCCAGCCUGGGUGACAGAGUGAGACUCUGUCUCAAAAAAAAAAAAAAAAAAAGGUGUAGUAUUUGCAUGUAACCUGCCACAUAUUCUCCUGUACACUUUAAAACCUCUCCAGAUUAUGUAUAAUACCUAACACAUUGUAAAUGCUAUAUAAAUAGUUGUUAUACUGUAUUGAUUAGACAAUAAUGACAACAAAAAAAGUCUACACCUAAUAGGUACAGACAAAGCCAGAUAUUUUUCCUUUUCUGGAAUAUUUUCCAUCUGCUGUUGGUUGAAUCCACAGAUGCAGAACCCAAGGAUAUGGAGGGCCAAAGAAGCAUUUACAGAGGAAGGACAGUGUAGAUUCAUGAAAACUAAGGAAGGAGAUUUGAAACAGGAAGACUUGAUUCACAGUUUUAAAGGCUGCAAAGGAGGUAAAUUGAAAAAAAGACUAAGAGGCCAUGUGAAGGUCAUCAAGCAUCAUCCAGAGAGAAAUUCCGCAGAGCAAUCAGUGCAAAAUCCAUGUUUUCAUUACCAAAAACCAAAAACUUUAUCACAGUAUGAUAUGAACUUACCUAUAUGAAGUCUUUCAGUGGCCCCAAAACAAAUCAUAUAUAUUUAAUGAAUAGCCAUUAUUGAAAAAAUAUAUACUAAAAAGUAACUACACUGGAAAACCCAUGAUGUAUUGUUACUAUUGUAAUUGGGAGAGAAGUCAGAUGUUAGAAUAUUUUAGGAAUGAAAUAGGUCAAAAGAAAGAAAAAUGUGAAGGAUAUGAAUAAACAGAGAAAUGUAGGAGGGACAAAAGGACACCCUCUUUAAACUGUCAAUGGCAGGCUAGAACUGUUUGUGCUUAUGAGGACUUGGAGUCCCUGCAGAGGUCAGGGUGGCUUCUAACAUUGUAUGCCCACCUAUAUUUCAUCAGGCUAACAAUAAUUUUGAUGGCUGAUCUGCUGAGAGAAGAUUUUUUUUAAGAGACAGGUCUUACUCUGUUGCCCAAGCUGGAGUGCAGUGGUGGUCAUAGCUCACCAUAACCUCAAACUCCUGGGCUUAAGUGAUCCUCCCACCUCAGCUUCCUGAGUAGCUAGGACUACAGGCAUGUACCACUGCACCCAGCACAAGAUGGUCUUGAUUACAGGCAUUUAUUUAGGGAUACAAUUUAAAAUGACUGACUUUUAUAACCCUAUCACUAUAUAUCACCAUAUUCUAAAUGUCUAGGGAAAAGUAGGGGGAAAGACUGGAUUAGGCCAGGCAUGAUUACCAGUAAUCUUAGCACUUUGGGAGGCCAAGGUGAGAGGAUUACUUGAGGCCGAGAGCUCAAGACCAACCUGGCCAACAAAGCAAGACUCUGUCUCUAUUUCAAUUAAAAAAUAGAAGAAGAAAAAAGACUUGGUUGGCAGUUUUGUUUGUUUUAUUGUUGUUGUUGUUGUUUUUGUUUGUUUUUUUGAGACAGAGUUUCGCUCUUGUUGUCCAGGCUGGAGUGCAAUGGUGCCAUCUCAGCUCAAUGUAACCUCCGCCUCCUGGGUUGAAGCAAUUCACCUGCCUCAGCCUCCCGAGUAGCUGUCAUUACAGGCAUGCGUCACCACACCCGGCUAAUUUUGUGUUUUUAAUAGAGAUGGGGUUUCUCCAUGUUGGUCAGUCUGGUCUCAAACUCCUGACCUCAGGUGAUCCUCCUGCCUCGGCCUCCCAAAGGGCUGGGAUUACAGGCAUGAGCCACCGUGCCCAGCCUUGGUUGGCAGUUUUUACCAUUAAUUAUACAAUUAUUUUUUCUGAUUAUGAAAGCAAUAAGGCAUACAAUGUCAAUCAUUAAGGAAAUAUGAAAUAUGUAAAAUAAGCAUGUUCUCUAGUCUCAUCUCCACAGAUAACUUCUUUCAAGAUUUGAUGCAUUUCUCCCAAAUUUUUAUUUUCUAGACAUACACUAACAUUUGUCUUUGUUAAAAUGGGGUCACUGAGUACAUUUUAUUUUGCAACUUGUUUUUUUCCCAUUUACCUGUACAGCCAGCACAUUUUCUUAUGUCAUCACAGUAGUGCCACCUCUCUAAUUAAUGCAAAGUGUUCUAUUGUGCAGAUGGUACAUAUGAAAAUAUUUUCUUUCUUUUUUUUUUUUUUUUUGAGACGGAGUCUCAUUCUGUUGCCCAGGCUGUAGUGCAGUGGUGCGAUUUUGGCUCACUGCAACCUCCACCUCCCGGGUUCGAGCAAUUAUCCUGCCUCAGCCUCCCCAGUAGCUGGGAGUACAAGCAUGUACCAUCACGCCCAGCUAAUUUUUCGUAUUUUUAGUAGGGACGGGGUUUCACCAUAUUUGCCAAGCUGGUCUUGAACUCCUGACCUCAAGUAACUCACUCACCUCAGCCUCCCAAAGUGCCAAGUGAAAUAUUUUAGUGGGAAAAUGUCCACAGAAUAAGGGGUGUGGGCUUGGUCAGUGGAGAGUGGUUGAAGAGGUGAGAGGGAACCAAGGCUCUUCCUGCUAUUUCUUUGCUAGGGCUGGCCCCUUUAGGGGCUUCCCUUCCCUUAGAGAUGACUGCCAGGGUCUUCCAUCCCUACUUUCUGCCCCUUCUCUGAGGGGCCUGAGCCCCCUCAGCCUCCCAGGUUCAUCCAAACAAACAACUUAUGGCCUUCAUAAAACUGUCUGAUUAAAUGUGUAUUAUUAUUUUUCCUUUUUUAUUAUACAGGAUAUAAAUGCUUAACUCUUUUCAUGUAUUUUUAAACCAACUGACAAAUAAUUUUGAGCUUGUCAUUAGCAUCCUUGGGCU
Molecule: long non-coding RNA, 4292 nt
Filed under: Homo sapiens (human)
Lineage: Eukaryota; Metazoa; Chordata; Mammalia; Primates; Hominidae
Source: RNAcentral